GCGGGCGUAACUCAAUUGGCAGAGUGUCGGCUUUCCAAGCCGAAUGUUGAGGGUUCAACUCCCUUCGCCCGCU
This 73-nucleotide transfer RNA is filed under the name Planctomycetota bacterium. Its description in RNAcentral is "tRNA-Gly". It matches the Rfam family "tRNA". Rfam says of the family: Transfer RNA (tRNA) molecules are approximately 80 nucleotides in length. Their secondary structure includes four short double-helical elements and three loops (D, anti-codon, and T loops). Further hydrogen bonds mediate the characteristic L-shaped molecular structure. tRNAs have two regions of fundamental functional importance: the anti-codon, which is responsible for specific mRNA codon recognition, and the 3' end, to which the tRNAs corresponding amino acid is attached (by aminoacyl-tRNA synthetases). tRNAs cope with the degeneracy of the genetic code in two manners: having more than one tRNA (with a specific anti-codon) for a particular amino acid; and 'wobble' base-pairing, i.e. permitting non-standard base-pairing at the 3rd anti-codon position. The record is from RNAcentral. RNAcentral also lists the same sequence under 1 other name. Lineage: Bacteria; Pseudomonadati; Planctomycetota.